Molecule: transfer RNA, 71 nt
Filed under: Candidatus Magasanikiibacteriota bacterium
Lineage: Bacteria; Candidatus Magasanikiibacteriota
Description: tRNA-Trp
Rfam family: tRNA
About the family: Transfer RNA (tRNA) molecules are approximately 80 nucleotides in length. Their secondary structure includes four short double-helical elements and three loops (D, anti-codon, and T loops). Further hydrogen bonds mediate the characteristic L-shaped molecular structure. tRNAs have two regions of fundamental functional importance: the anti-codon, which is responsible for specific mRNA codon recognition, and the 3' end, to which the tRNAs corresponding amino acid is attached (by aminoacyl-tRNA synthetases). tRNAs cope with the degeneracy of the genetic code in two manners: having more than one tRNA (with a specific anti-codon) for a particular amino acid; and 'wobble' base-pairing, i.e. permitting non-standard base-pairing at the 3rd anti-codon position.
Source: RNAcentral
GGGGGCGUAGUUCAACAGUAGAACGGCGGUCUCCAAAACCGCAGACGAGGGAGCAUCACCUUCCGCCCCUG